Molecule: transfer RNA, 71 nt
Filed under: Marmota monax (woodchuck)
Lineage: Eukaryota; Metazoa; Chordata; Mammalia; Rodentia; Sciuridae
Rfam family: tRNA
About the family: Transfer RNA (tRNA) molecules are approximately 80 nucleotides in length.
Source: Rfam by way of RNAcentral
UGCGGUGUGGCUCAGUGGUAGAGCAUUGCCUAGCAUGUGUGAGGCCCUGGGUUCCAUCCCCAGCACCACAU